RNAcentral lists this ribosomal RNA (459 nucleotides) under uncultured bacterium. Its description in RNAcentral is "partial 16S ribosomal RNA". It matches the Rfam family "Bacterial small subunit ribosomal RNA", at positions 338 to 795 of the family's 1533-position model. The record is from RNAcentral.
CCUACGGGAGGCUGCAGUGAGGAAUAUUGGUCAAUGGGCGAGAGCCUGAACCAGCCAAGUCGCGUGAGGGAAGACGGUCCUAUGGAUUGUAAACCUCUUUUGCCGGGGAGCAAAAAGCGGUACGUGUACCGCAUCGAGAGUACCCGGAGAAAAAGCAUCGGCUAACUCCGUGCCAGCAGCCGCGGUAAUACGGAGGAUGCGAGCGUUAUCCGGAUUUAUUGGGUUUAAAGGGUGCGCAGGCGGCGAGUUAAGUCAGCGGUAAAAUUUCGGGGCUCAACCCCGACAAGCCGUUGAAACUGGCGUGCUAGAGUGUGCGAGAAGUAUGCGGAAUGCGUGGUGUAGCGGUGAAAUGCAUAGAUAUCACGCAGAACUCCGAUUGCGAAGGCAGCAUACCGGCGCCCAACUGACGCUCAGGCACGAAAGCGUGGGUAUCGAACAGGAUUAGAUACCCGGGUAGUC